UCUGCCAGUUUCUGCCAAACCUCUAGGUGAACAAAUGAACAACAAUGGCACUACACGUACAGUCUUCGUUCACAGCUGUUUUGACAGCAAUUUCAAAUUGCUGAGGUGGCCACGUGAUAUCCGAAUUAAAGAAGACGAAGAAGGCUGUAAAUCAUUUCACCACACCCAGCCCAUUUAAACCCCCUUUCACUGACCUAUUUCCCAUUGCUUUCAUUUAUCCCCAAAUCAAUUCAGGCCGCAAGACAAAGAAAAAAAGCGUGAGGAAAAUUCUUGUAAAUUUGUUGGAAAAUAAGCGCGAGGAAAAUACGCCCUCUUUGUCCGAACCCAAUUCCACCUCCCACGACGCAGCACUGAUCGUAAAAAUCCGACGAAGUGCGAUGUCAUAGUGGACAGCUUCUGGUGUUUUGCGGUUCUUAGUGAGUUAACUAAGGAAGAUAGGAAGUAGUGAAUACAUUUAGCAGCUUUCGGGGUAACCUGGAGUGUGGAGCUGGUGGGUUUGGAGAAGGAAGAGAAACGGAUAGAGUGUUUAUUGUGCAUUAGUAUUGAAAGUUUGGGGAAGAUGGACGACAUGGUGGCUUGUGAAGAUGAUGGCCACGAGUGGUGGAGGAGAAAGCACAACGCCGGUGAGAGCCAUUACUUUCCCGCCAAAGGUUUGGAUGAAAGUGAAACUCGUGCAAGGGAGUAAUCCCCAAGUAAAGAAUAGAGCUCAAUUCCAAGUUUUCCAACUCACUGCUCCAGCACCUCAAUUCAGCCCCAGCUCACGGUAGCAUUUGCGCUGCAGCUCAAUUUAGUUAGUCUGGGCAGUUGGUUACAUGUGUCAUCAUUGUAUUGGUUGUGAAUAUUAUUCAGUUAGUCAGCUCAAUUUCUCUUUGCUUAGAUCUGUAUUUAUAAACAUGCGUAAUACAUUCUUUAAUUUGAGAAGUUCAUUCAAUAAAAUUUAGUCUUCUUCA
Long non-coding RNA from Olea europaea var. sylvestris, 950 nucleotides. RefSeq lists it as uncharacterized. The transcript has 2 exons. NCBI's taxonomy places the organism in Eukaryota, Viridiplantae, Streptophyta, Magnoliopsida, Lamiales, Oleaceae. The record is from RefSeq and is a predicted model, not a curated record.